Molecule: ribosomal RNA, 446 nt
Filed under: uncultured bacterium
Lineage: Bacteria
Description: bacterial SSU rRNA
Rfam family: Bacterial small subunit ribosomal RNA
Source: RNAcentral
AUUGAACGCUGGCGGCAGGCCUAACACAUGCAAGUCGAGCGGUAGAGAGGUGCUUGCAUCUCUUGAGAGCGGCGGACGGGUGAGUAAUGCCUAGGAAUCUGCCUAGUGGUGGGGGAUAACGUUCGGAAACGGACGCUAAUACCGCAUACGUCCUACGGGAGAAAGCGGGGGAGUCUUUCGGACCUCGCGCCAUUAGAUGAGCCUAGGUCGGAUUAGCUAGUUGGUGAGGUAAUGGCUCACCAAGGCGACGAUCCGUAACUGGUCUGAGAGGAUGAUCAGUCACACUGGAACUGAGACACGGUCCAGACUCCUACGGGAGGCAGCAGUGGGGAAUAUUGGACAAUGGGCGAAAGCCUGAUCCAGCCAUGCCGCGUGUGUGAAGAAGGUCUUCGGAUUGUAAAGCACUUUAAGUUAGGGUAGGAAGGGUAAGUAACCUAAUACGUUGC